RNAcentral lists this ribosomal RNA (229 nucleotides) under uncultured bacterium. Its description in RNAcentral is "partial 16S ribosomal RNA". It matches the Rfam family "Bacterial small subunit ribosomal RNA", at positions 568 to 796 of the family's 1533-position model. The record is from RNAcentral.
UCCGUAGGUGGAUAAUUAAGUCAGAGGUGAAAUCCUGCAGCUCAACUGUAGAAUUGCCUUUGAUACUGGUUAUCUUGAGUCAUUAUGAAGUGGUUAGAAUGUGUAGUGUAGCGGUGAAAUGCAUAGAUAUUACACAGAAUACCGAUUGCGAAGGCAGAUCACUAAUAAUGUACUGACACUGAUGGACGAAAGCGUGGAGAGCGAACAGGAUUAGAUACCCUGGUAGUCC